AAGUUUGAAAACAUUAACAGAUGCUUUUAACAUUUAAAGAAAACUACUUGAACGUAAGAAAUUUUAAAACACGAUACAAUCCAGUCCAAAACCAGAGUGUCACAGAGUGCAUGAGCGUCUAGGGAAAUACAUAGUCUAUUACAAUGUCUAAAGAAGCAAUUAAAAUAACACUAGAGAAUAAGAAGGAGAUCUAGGGCCUGCGAAUGUCGUGCAGAUACCUCAAUAAUCUCCUAAGCCUGAAGCCUCAAUCAACAACCGCCACUGGGUCCAAAAGUGCCUGGAUCUGCACACAAGGUGCAGGGAGUAACGUGGGUACUCCAACUCAGUAAGUAACGAGUCCAAACUACUGACUGAAAGGUAGUGACAAACUCAACCUCAAUAAAUAUAAUAGAAACAACGUACAGAAACGUAGUCAUGCUUUCAGUUAAAUAGACAGCUCAAAGUAAUAAGGUAAAUACAGAUCUGAACAGUUUAAGAUAUAUAACUCAACUGCCUAUACAUGCCAAUGCACCGACUGUGUGAAAUGCACAAUGUACUCCCACUCUCAAGUGCUCAACCNNNNNNNNNNNNNNNNNNNNNNNNNNNNNNNNNNNNNNNNNNNNNNNNNNNNNNNNNNNNNNNNNNNNNNNNNNNNNNNNNNNNNNNNNNNNNNNNNNNNNNNNNNNNNNNNNNNNNNNNNNAGGGAAAUCCAUCAAUAUAUUCAUCAUUGACUAUAAGUCACCCAGUACUGAGGAAAAAGGAUAAUCCAACCCUGUGGAGAAAUCCAUCUCCAGAUAUCAAUACUUCGGACAAAUCCAUGUCCAGAGAAAUUCAUCCAUCAAUAAUAUCAUCCGCGCCUACUGAAGGUGUGCAGACUCUGGAGGGGCUCCUACGGUCCAAGCGUUAUAGUAAUCAAUAACUGUUGCGGCAUGCAGCCUGAUCUCAUAACUAUCACUCAUAAUCAGGCUCUCGGCCUCACACAGUCAUCACUCUCCAAUCUCACCCAUGGGCUCACAAUGUCAUGGAAACUAGCCCGAAAACAUUGAUAUGUUAUGCCAAUAAUGACAAUUGAGACUGAAAUAUGAUAUGAAAUGCAUGAAUAUAACUAAGUACAAAAUAACAGUAAAUUUAGUGAAAUGACAGCAAGAAACGACCACUAGGGGUCCCAGCAGUAUCGGUGUGAAGCCAUAAUAUGAUAUCUAGCAUGUUUUGCAGCUCAAUUACUUUAUCACACAAUGGAAACACGGAUAUCAACAAGGAGUCAUUAAACGGUGUCAUAGAAUGAACCAGGUCACGAUUCUCAUGGUGCACGCCCGCACGCCCGCAUGCCCAUCACUUGGUAUGUGCAUCUCCUCAAUACUAACCACAUAACAUGUAGUUCAAGGUUUCGAACCCUCAGAACCAAGUUUGAAAGCAUUACUUACCUCAAACCUAGCCAAAAUCCUACUCUGCGAUGCCUUUGCCUCUCAAAUCGACCUCCAAACAUCCUGAAUCUAGCCACAAGCAAUCCAAUACGAUCAAUAUAGGCUAAAGGAACCAAUUCUAUAAGAAAAAUACCAAAUCAUAGCCAAAAUCUGAAAUCGGCCCAAACCCGGACCCCAGGCCUACGUCUGGAAAACCGACAAAAGUUAUAAAAACUGAAAGCCCGUUUACUCAUCAGUCUAACCAUACGAAAUUUAUCAAAAUCCAACAUCACUAGGUCCCUCAAAUCUCCAAAUUAUACUCUCCAAAAUCCCAAGCACUAACCCCCAAUUUUCACUUCAUAAUCCCACUAAUUAGAUGAGAAAUCAACGGGAAAACACCAUAGCUAAGGGUACUUAGGCUCAAGGGACUUACCUCAGUGAAAUACUUGAAUUCCCUUCAAAAAUCACCUCAAAAGCUCCAAAGUCCGGGUUGAAUGGUGGAAAUGAAGAAAAAUCACUAAGUCCUCUAUUUAUACAUUCUGUCUCGUGAUACCGCACCUGCGGUCCAAAUGUCACUUCUACGACACCGCACCUACGAAAAAUCCAUUGCAGGUGUGGAACCCACUUAAGUUCUCAGAGUCCUCAUCUGGGGUUGAUCACAUGCACCUACGGGUGCGCACUUGCGGGCCACGCCCGCUUCUGUGAUCAUUACUUCCUUCGCCUUUUCCGCAUUUGCGCUUCGCCUCCCACAUCUGUGCUUACACAGAUGUGUACCAACCCUCGCACUUGCGCUUCCAGACCAAACCACUCUUGCCCGCACCUAUAAGCACCUCUUCGCUUCUGUGGUCCGCACUUGCGGGCUCCCCACUGCAGGUGCGAAAACACCAAAACCAGACCACUUUAGCAAUCCUUCAAACUUCAGUCUUAUUCUGUUAACCACCCGAAAUCAACCCGAGGCCCAUGGGACCUCAACCAAACAUACCAACACGUUCCAUAACAUCGUACGUACUUAGUCGAACCUUCAAAUCACUCCAAAAAAUAUCAAAAUACCAAAUUAUACUCGGAUUCAAGCCUAAGAACCUCUAAUUUUCCGAAUUCCACAAACGAUGUCGAAACCUACCAAACCACGUCUGAAUGACCUCAAAUUUUGCACACAAGUCAGAAAUGACACUACGAACCUACUCCAACUUCCAGAAAUCCAAUUCGACCCUGAUAUCAAAAUUUUCACUCCCGACCAAAAUCGCCAAAAUUUCAACUUUCGCCAAUUCAAGCCUAAUUUUGAUACGGACCUCCAAAUCACAUUCUGAACGCGCUCCUAAGUAAUUACCUAACGGAGGUAACAGAACCAUCAAAAUUCAUAUUCGAGGUCGUUUACACAUAAGUCAAUAUCUGAUCAACUCUUCCAAUUUAACACUUCUCAUAAGAGACUAAGUGUCUCAAUUCACUCCAAUACCACUCCGGACAUAAACCGACUAAUCUGAUAAGUCAAAAUACAGCUGAAGAAUACAAAAGAAGCAGGAAAUGGGAGAACGGGACUAUAAAUCUCAAAAUGACUGACCAGGUCAUUACAUUUAUAUAGUAUACCAAAAAGGAAUAAAGAUAGAAACAAGAGUAAGAAAACAUGAACCAGUGGCAAAAGUAAGGUGUUAGGUCGUGUGACGGUAUUUGUGAACAUGGUGGACUUCAGCAUAAUAAGUAGUGUUUUUGCAUCUUAAAUAUAAUAUUUAGUUAUGUGGAUAACGAACGGUCUGUCUAUUCCUCUCCACUUAAAUAUAUGAUUUAAAUAUGUUAUAAUGAAUUGUUUCUCUAUUCCUCUUUACUUAAACUUGAGAUCUGAUUCACAACAGGAUUCCACCUCAACCUCGUGAUGUGUCAUAUAUCCAGUGUGGUACUAUUUUUGCCAUUGAUCUAAAGACAUGGAGGCAAAAACAAUAAGAUGAUAUAUCUUUUUUAUUUUAGUAUUUCGAGCUACGUUUAACAGAGAUUGUAACAAGUUGAGUAGCAAUUAAUAUCAACAUUCCGAAUUUCUGGUGACCUCCAAAUACUUACAAAGGUUUCCUUUUUGUCCAUUAAUGCAUACUCUGAUCUUGAAACCUUUUCGAAACUCAAAGAAUCCAUUGUUGGUACUUCAAGUUCUGGUCUCAAUGACUAGAAAAAUAUCACAACAAAUUCCUCAACUUUCUCUUUUAUUCAUUAUUGUUCUUUCUCUGGCGUUACAUGUAAUAAUGAUUUACGUGUUAUGUCUUUGAACUUUUCUAAUGUUCCUUUGUUUGGUACCAUUCCUCCAUAAGAACUCUGAUCCCUUGCCUCGAUUUUCUUCUCUAUCUCUUCAAGACCUUUUAGAAUCACAUCUCUUUCAUUCUCGCUUAUCAAUCCCCCUACAACACAUCAAUGAAUUCAUGCACAUUUAAGUACCACUUUCUUUCUCCCUAAUAAUUAGGAUGAAAUAAUACAAACAAUUAAGUUGUAGUGUUCUUUCUCCGGAAAAGAUUCCUCAUUUCACUUUCUCACUCCAUAAUACCUCCUCUAACAUGUAGAUGUUAGAACCAAAAUACUUUAAGAUGAAAUCAUUCAUCUUUUACCCAAAACCUAUCAUGUCAAAUCAUCGAGAAUAAAACUAGAUGUGGAAGCAUACCUGAAUCCAUAAGAACGAAUGAAACUCCUCGUCUUGCGGUUAGUGGUCGUAGGAAUUGCACAGAAUGCGGCUCUUACUUUCCUAAC
Molecule: long non-coding RNA, 4103 nt
Filed under: Nicotiana tabacum (common tobacco)
Lineage: Eukaryota; Viridiplantae; Streptophyta; Magnoliopsida; Solanales; Solanaceae
Description: long non-coding RNA (NTAB_LNC014034)
Source: RNAcentral